UAGGGAAUCUUCGGCAAUGGGGGCAACCCUGACCGAGCAACGCCGCGUGAGUGAAGAAGGUUUUCGGAUCGUAAAGCUCUGUUGUAAGAGAAGAACGUGUGUGAGAGUGGAAAGUUCACACAGUGACGGUAACUUACCAGAAAGGGACGGCUAACUACGUGCCAGCAGCCGCGGUAAUACGUAGGUCCCGAGCGGUGUCCGGAUUUAUUGGGCGUAAAGCGAGCGCAGGCGGUUUAAUAAGUCUGAAGUUAAAGGCAGUGGCUUAACCAUUGUGGGCUUUGGAAAAUGUUAAACUUGAGUGCAGAAGGGGAGAGUGGAAAUCCAUGUGUAGGGGGGAAAUGCGUAGGUAUAUGGAGGAAAAACGGUGGCGAAAGCGGCUCUCUGGUCUGUAAAUGACGCUGAGGCUGGAAAGCGUGGGGAGCAAACAGG
This 429-nucleotide ribosomal RNA is filed under the name bacterium. RNAcentral's name for it is "partial 16S ribosomal RNA". It matches the Rfam family "Bacterial small subunit ribosomal RNA", at positions 355 to 776 of the family's 1533-position model. The record is from RNAcentral.